Thalassophryne amazonica is the source of this 147-nucleotide long non-coding RNA. RefSeq lists it as uncharacterized. Lineage: Eukaryota; Metazoa; Chordata; Actinopteri; Batrachoidiformes; Batrachoididae. The record is from RefSeq and is a predicted model, not a curated record. The transcript is spliced from 3 exons.
CUUUUUGCCAAGAAGAAUGGGCAGCUGUACUAUCAGAGUAAAUAAGGAGCCUCAUCCAUAACUACCACAAAAGACUCCAAGCUGUCAUUGAUGUUAAAGGGGGCAAUACACAGUAUUAAGGACUGGGAAAUGUGAACUUUAAAUCAG